This 283-nucleotide long non-coding RNA is filed under the name Elaeis guineensis (African oil palm). RNAcentral describes it as "long non-coding RNA (EGUI_LNC049265)". Lineage: Eukaryota; Viridiplantae; Streptophyta; Magnoliopsida; Arecales; Arecaceae. The record is from RNAcentral.
CAGCACUUUCAAUUACACAUGCAUACUAACAAGGCAAAGUAGAUGUUGAUUAUAAGGUCAACUGAAGAUUCAAUUAUCAUUUAAAAUUGAUGAUUGAUAUACACUCCAAUUAAAAAAAUUUGAAUUUGAAGAAAGAGCUAUCUGUCUAAAAUAAAAAUAUAAAAAAUAGAGUAUAUAUGGAUUGUCCUAAACUUAGUAACUGGGUCUCUGCACCUAAGUCAAGUAUGAAGGUUCACAUCAAAAGAUAGAGAGAAGGUCAGGAUGCUUAGUACUAAAAGAAAAA